Long non-coding RNA from Pecten maximus, 773 nucleotides. RefSeq lists it as uncharacterized. The record is from RefSeq and is a predicted model, not a curated record. The transcript has 3 exons. Lineage: Eukaryota; Metazoa; Mollusca; Bivalvia; Pectinida; Pectinidae.
CACGACCUUUCUCUUUUACCAAUGACAGAGUGUGGAUCUCAGCGAAUGAACAAGUUGACUGUCACAUGACAUGUACAAAUCCAAAGGUAGACAAAAUUGUCGCGGAAACCAUUGACAAGAAUCGCCAUGUCAUGGAAGAGAUAAAUGGUCCAAGGAAUUGUCCCUCCUUGGAGUCGAAAGUCUUGAGGUUCAAAGGUCGCUCACAUCAAAUAUGGCUGGAACCUGAAGGUUUGUGUACAUCAUGUAAUACUCUAAUGUACACAGAAAUGAAAUGAUAGAUGUCAAUAUGUAUCAAUGAAUUGUCAAAUUCUUCAACAGUUUCUGCUCAGAGGUUGAAUAUAUUUGAUUCAAUUUUUAAAUUACUAUAAAUAAUAUUACAAUAAUAAUCAAUCAAUUUGAACAUCAAACUGCGUUUUGUUCUGAUGGUACAGUAUUAAACAAUCAGUCAUGAAGAUUACAGACAAAUUAUAGUGCAUUGUCAUUACAGUGGUAAUUGUCUCCAGUUCUAUUCAGAAUUUUGGGAUUGAAUUUUUUUUUUUUUUAAAUCAACUUCAUUUUACAACAAUAACAACAUUAUGAAACAAUAAGCAUCGAUAGUGUAAACAUGCAUAAUUAAGUGGUAAUCCUAUUCUAUUUACAGCUACAUGUAGCACUUUUUGCAAUGGAAGCUUUGUGCUUAUUAAAGUAUGAUUGUGCUGUUCUACUUUCUAUAUACAUGUACUAUGUACUAUUUCUAUGAAAAAAUAAUUUGGAAGCACCAAUUCAUAAUUAUG